AACCAAAGCAGGAAACACCAGAAUGAAGAUUGCCCAGGUGACAGCAGCAUGACCCUAAAAGAAGUUAAUAAUAAGUUUCCAAAAAGUCUCAGAACUAAUUGCUGAGAGCAUAGGAAAAAACCCACUUGGGACUCAUGGGUUCAAAGCAACAUUCAGGAGAGCAUUGUUUAGAUAAACUAUUUGAUCCCUAAGGGCUUGUUUCCAUCUCAUUUCUUCUUGCACCUCCUCCUCCUCAUGGCUUUCCUCUUAUCCUGAUGUUUCAAAUCUCUGCUCCAGAGAAUGAAAGACUCUAGAGAUCCCUGGUGGACUUAUGAAAAAAUAAACUAUGGAGAAAAACAAUGCAGUUUUCCCUAAUCUUGUUUUUGGAAACAUCUGUGCCAUUUAAUCUGAAACAUUACAAUGAAAAAUUCAGACUCAGACAGACAUGGAAAAUAUCCUUAUAAACAGCUCAAAUUUGGCAACGUUAAUUCAAAUGAAAAUAAAGCCUUAUAAAGGGAUCUCUUAGGAAACCUUGAAUUUAAGAGGGGGGCAUUUAACAGCUUUGCAUGUAAUAAAAGUCUACAUAAAACCAGUAUAAUGACUCUGCAUAACAAGCAUCACAGCAACAUGUUAUGCAUUUUUUUGUGGAUUGUAUGGCCUCUCUAAGCUCAAUCUGUAUGCAAGUAAGAAAUAAAAGAUUGUCCAAACUUAGAAGAAAACAAAUUAGUAAUGACAAAAUAAAGACAAGUCUGGUGAAAACCUCAGACACCCCAAGCCAACCAUUACUUUAAAAGCAAAGGAAAUAAAGGAGGCAGUUUUUAAUUACUAGCAGUAAUCUGCAUGAGUAAGAAUUUCAGUCUAGAAGAAAAUAAUGCCACUAACUGGCAAGGCACUAGCUGUGUUUGUUGGCUUAGAAGCACUUUCUUUCCAUUACUGAAAACCUACAAGUAGGAUUCUCCAGCAACAAUGUUAUUUCCAUCUUAAAAGAUGAACAUGAAACCUCAAAAUCUAUCAGAUACACUCUAUCAAACAACUAAUAAUCUUCACAGGCAAAUCACUUAGAAAUGCAUUAGGUUUUAAGUGGAAUGCAUUUGCAAGAAAUUCCAGUAACUGUCAGAGCUAAAUGUUUCCUUAACUUUUUGUUUAUGCACAAAAGAAGAUAAAAAUAUUUAGAAGAGAAUGAAGUUAUGAGCCCAGAACAUGUGCCAUGGGAAAUCUAAACCUGAAUGCAGUUGAAAGACUGUCCAAAAGGGACUGACCCAAAGAAUCCCUCCAUCACACAGCAGUUGAAGAGGAAAACCAGACUAUGAACUUAAAGCAACUGAGCUGCUGCUCUGGAGUCUGAGAAAGGUUCACAUGCCAACAACCACUUGCAGAAGAAAAAUAGACUGACUCUCCUGGCCAAAUGAAAAAGUACAUUCCUGAUAUGGCAUCCAGCUGAGAACUUGAGUAGGAAGCAAUACACUCAACAGGCAUCCUGUGUCUUCCUCCAACCCAUCAUCCCACCAAUUUUCUGUUCUCUCAACACUCUCAGAGACUAAGCAUCAGCAGUUCCUUAGAGCUUAGUCCAAGCUAUUCUAUUACCUUAACCAUUUGUUUGUAUCAGUGGUUGCUGAACACAACCCUACAAAGGCACAGAUUAAGAGAGAGGAAAAGGUUUGAAUACAAUAAACUGGCCUGAAUGUCAGCCUAGAAUGCAUGCUGAACUAAUUUUUGAAUUACAGAUUUAUGAAGUGUGUCUGCAUCUUUCUCUCUUGGUGCGUUGUUUGAUUGGUUUUGUUCACCUAGUUCUAUGUGGUUAAUGUCAGGUGCUGGUAUGCCCACCAGAAUUUCCCUGUUCACCUCUCAAGUAACAGCCUUUUCUUCCAAUUCCUCUCUCUUGUCCUGCUACAACAGCAGACAUUCCUGAUGCAGCAGUCCUUGCAGGAAUCUGGGUCUGUGAUGCACCUACAACCUCAAGGAAGACUUGCAGGCUUUUCUGAAUAGUCAGACAUUUCUUUUGCUAUGAUUGACAAACUGCUGAAAAGUGGAAUAAAAAUAUAGGCUCAACAUUGGAUAUAAUCAAAAUGGCCACCAAACUCUAGAAAUAAGUAUAAGCCAUGAUAGUUAAGACUUGUGCUGUGAGCCUCCACCCGAACACAGUGACCCUGGAUCUGGGAGUUCUCCUCAAUCUAUUAUGGAGCCGGACAGAUAAACAGGGGAAGUUUGACUGCUCUCAUCAGAGAUUUUGGUAUGCCUUUAAUCAUCCCAAAGCGUAUUAAUUAUGGAGACAAAAAUCAAGUUUUACUUGCCAGAAUGUUAUUAUGGAAAAUCUAAAAUAUGAUGGAAGGUAGACUGACAUUCCUGUAGGCUUGCUUAAUCACAUAUAAGUGUUUAUUUACCAAUGAACUCCAAUGCAUGUGUUGUGAUGUUAAGGGCACAUUU
Molecule: long non-coding RNA, 2403 nt
Organism: Pezoporus flaviventris
Lineage: Eukaryota; Metazoa; Chordata; Aves; Psittaciformes; Psittacidae
Exons: 3
Source: RefSeq, a predicted model, not a curated record